AGCGCAAACCAGUCCGGCUGCUUUAGAAACAAGUUGUUUUCUGCUUCCAGAACCACCCAGGAGCCUGCGUGAUGUCUCUUCCCCCACCCGACCCCCUCUUCUCUCUGCCGGUCUCCUUGCUCCAGGUGUGGAGCAGAGAAAAGGCUAUACCCACUGAUGAACAGGGAUCCACACCUGGGGAAGAAGCAAGUAUGACUUUCUCUCCUGUGGCUUUACACAACCUCCUUGAAAUUCCAAGAGCAACCCUCCCAGCUAAAGUCUUCUCAGAUGUGACACGAUCUGCACAAGCAGAGGCGGCACAGGGUUUGGCUUCCAGUUGGGAAAUGAAGCUCCAAGGGCAGCCCUACUAUGGCGGGCUGUGUGACCUGGGCCAAGCCCCUUGACAUCUCCAGACUCGGCUUCCACAUCUGCCACCAAGACGCUGGAUUGAAUGUUGGGUACGUUGUAAGGCAAGGGAGACACAGAAGUCCUAAAGGAGAUAAAGCUUUUCCCCACUGCCCCUCCAUCUGGACGAGUCUCUUGCCAAGCAUCUUCAAGUCCCACUUUGAAACACGAUUCUGCCACCUUCCUGUUCUGAGGAUCUGGGAAAGCAAGGGGGAAGGGGCUAUUGGGAGUCCCGCUUGCUCCAGGCCCAGACCAGGAGGCUCAGGCAGGCUUAUCUACUUCUGAUGUGGUGGGGGGCCCAGGAUGCUGCCAGGGUCUCACAGCCAUGGUCUCACAGCCACUAUCAGCCUGUCCUCAAGGGUAUAAGAGAAGCUGGAAGCCUAGAUGGGCACUGCCCUCAGGCAACUUCCAAUCCAGCCAAGAAGAAUAAAGAGUAACACACAAAAUAUUGGGGGCAUGAGGCAAUAACUGUGGGUACACCUAUAAAAACCUCUAAUUGGGCUUACCUGGUACCAGACAGUAUUUUAAUUGGAUCAUAUAUAGUGCAUUAACUCAGUUAAUAUUCGCAACACCCCUAUGAGGUAGCUACAAUUAUUAUCCCCAUUCAAUGAUGGGGAAAACUGACAUCAGAAGAGGUCAACUUGCCCAAGUUUCCAGAGCUGAAAAGCAACAGAGCUGAGAUUUCACUGCAGGUAUUCUGGCCCCAGAGUCUUGGUACAAAUAGCGUUAAUGAACAAGUCUUCUUCUGGUAAGAGCACCCCGAUUUUCCUUUGGAGAACCUCCACUUCCUCAUUUCAUGUGCCAUGGGUGACCCUACCCUUGAGCUCUUGGGGUGAACACAUGGAAACGCGAUCCAGUCCUGACCAAACAGAAUAUCUCACUUCCCUGGCUACAGUUAGUGAUAGGUUCAGGAUUGUAGCAAUGACCCAAGACUGGCUUCUGAGAGUCAGUCACAUUUGAGACUGUGGCUCAAACUCUUAAGAGAAGCACUCGUUUUUCAACUGAGACACUACAGUCUUUACUACUCCUUGAAGACGGACUACCAGGAAGAAAGCCAACCUAGACGGCUGCAAAGCUGAGCAGUGGAGAACAGCAAGUUCCUGAUGACAUUGUUUGAUGGCCUAAACCCCACUAUACUUCCACUGCUUAUCUCCCUGGACUUUCCUGUUACACAGAAAUUAUCCCUUUUGUGUUGAAGCCAAUUUGAAUUGGAUAUCUGUCACUUAUAACCAGAAAGGUCCAAAUGUACUAGUGAACACAGAGCACAUACUGUGAGCACCUACUCUUUUUCUUCUUUCUUUUUUUUUUUUUUUCCCGAGACAGAGUCUUUCUCUGUCACCCAGGCUGGAGUGCAGUGAUGCAAUCUCGGCUCACUGCAACCUCUGCCUCCCGGGUUCAAGUGAUUCUCCUGCCUCAGCCUCCCGAGUAGCUGGGAUUACAGACACGUGCCACCACGCCCGGCUAAUUUUUGUAUUCUUAGUAGAGACGGGGUUUCACCAUGUUGGCCAGGCUGGUCUCGAACUCCUGACCUUGUGAUCCGCCCACCUCGGCCUCCUAAAGUGCUGGGAUUACAGGUGUGAGCCACCGCGCCCGGCCUGAGCACCUAUGCUUUUCAAGACAUUUCCAGAAAAACAAAUGCAGGUAAGAAAGGAUCAGUCUUCAAAGAACUUGGAAGCUGGUGAGGGAUUACAAAGAUUCUCAAAUAACUUUAAAACAAGUCAGAACACAAUUGACAGCACAAGGCAGCUACCCGGGUUCUCUGGUUAAUGCAAAGGGUGAGAAUUUUCUAUAUUGGAUGGAACACAUCAGAAAAGUUCUCACGAAGGUGGUAGCAGUGAAAUUGGCCUCAGAAGUCUGAUAGGAUGUUGGCAGGUGAAGGCAGGGAAGCUACAGGGCAGACAGAAUGAGGAAGGGCCCAGGUUCAGGGAAGUGUGGGCAUGCAGGGGCAAGUGUAAAUUGAUAGGAUUGCCUGGGACCAGAGGAAAGGUCUAAAACGUACAGUCUGAGGCUGGGGCGGGGUGGGGAAAGGAUGGUUCUGAGGUAUCUGAAGUAUCUCCAAAUAUCUGAAGAUAUUCCCCAUGGAAAAGAAACUAGGCUUAUUUGGAGUGACCCCAGAGGACAAGGCUACGACUAAAAAUGGACGCUCGCAAAUGGAGGAAGUAGACCUGACCCCUGACUAAGGAAGAUGGUGCUACCUGUUUGGGGCAAAUGUUCAAAAAGAGGCAGUGUCUGUAUGGUGGAUGCUGUUAAAAGGGACUCAGAAACCAAAUGAGAGUCUGAAUUAGCUGAGUUUAACAUUCUGUGAGUUUUGUGCCAGACUUGGGACUACUGCAGAAGACCCUGGGAGAGUUGGGAUUGAAUUCCAAAGGCAGUGCUGAUGGACACUGACUUGAGGAGCCAGGAAAGAAGGCAGGAACAGUGGUGGGGAUCACAGCCUCACUUGUAUCUGUGCACUUCUAUAAAUUCACAGACUGGGAAUUUUUAAUAUGAACUGGAUAUUAGAUGAUGCCCAGGAAUUGUUUUUAAUUCUGUUAGGUGGGAUAAUACCAUUCAUUGUGCUGUGUAAGAUAAUGUCCAUAUUGUUUAGAGAUGCAUACUGAAGAAUAUAGGAUGAAAUGACAU
RNAcentral lists this non-coding RNA (3006 nucleotides) under Pan troglodytes (chimpanzee). The record is from RNAcentral. Lineage: Eukaryota; Metazoa; Chordata; Mammalia; Primates; Hominidae.